GCCCGCCCGCGGGUUUGGGUCGGUCGCGCGCCGCUCGCUGAGCAUCCUUCCGGCCGCGCACCUGCCCCGCGCACCUGCCGCCAGCUGCUCUGCGCUCGGCUCGGUGCUCACGAUCCGCGUGCUCUGGCCGGUCCCGGCCCUGCCUGCGUGUCCUCCCCGUGCCUCAGCCGGGCCCGGGCUCAGCGCUGCGGAGGGCGAGGGCAGCCCGGAGCGCGGCCCGGGCCGGUGCGGCGAUGAUGAACAGGUUCCGAAAGUGGUUAUACAAACCCAAGAGGUCAGACCCACAGCUGCUGGCCCAGUUCUACUAUGCUGAUGAGGAGCUGAACCAGGUGGCUGCAGAACUGGACAGCCUGGAUGGGCGGAAGGAGCCCCAGCGGUGCACACUGCUUGUCAGCCAGUUCCGCUCCUGCCAGGACAAUGUGUUAAACAUCAUUAAUCAGAUCAUGGAGGAGUGCAUCCCUCAGGACCGUGCCCCUCGGGAUUUCUGCGUCAAGUUUCCCGAGGAGAUCCGGCAUGACAACUUGGCUGGCCAGUUGUGGUUCGGGGCUGAGUGCCUGGCAGCUGGCUCCAUCAUCAUGAAUCGUGAGCUCGAGAGCAUGGCUAUGCGGCCACUAGCCAAGGAGCUGACUCGCAGCCUGGAGGAUGUGCGGGGCACUCUCCGUGACCAGGCACUACGAGACCUCAACACCUACACGGAGAAGAUGCGGGAGGCACUGAGGCAUUUUGAUGUUCUGUUUGCUGAGUUUGAGCUCAGCUAUGUCUCAGCCAUGGUGCCUGUGAAGUCCCCCAGAGAGUACUAUGUGCAGCAGGAGGUCAUUGUGCUCUUCUGCGAGACAGUGGAGAGAGCCUUGGAUUUCGGGUAUCUGACCCAGGACAUGAUUGAUGACUACGAACCUGCCCUCAUGUUCACCAUUCCUCGGCUGGCCAUCGUGUGUGGCCUUGUGGUCUAUGCAGAUGGACCCCUGAACUUGGACCGGAAGGUGGAGGACAUGUCUGAGCUGUUCCGGCCCUUCCACACGUUGCUGAGGAAAAUAAGGGAUCUGCUGCAGGCGCUGACUGAGGAGGAGCUGCACACACUGGAGCGGAGCCUCUGUGUUUCUCAGGAUGUGGAGCUCCCGAUCCGGGCAGACGCCCAGGCACCCAGUGCCCUGGCACCUACCUUUUCUGCAUCCCUUCCCCCUGAGGAGCCACUUUCAGCCAGUGCCAGCAACCCAGAGGCAGAACUGGCCUGCUCAAUGCAGUAUGAUGAUCAGGAGUUGGAGGAGCUCAGCCGCAUGGUCCACAGGGCUGGAGACGAGAUGUCAUCUCUGCUUUCACCUCCCAGUGCCUGCCAGUCCCCAGCACAUAGGCCAGGCACAGAGGCCAGCCCCCGAGCAGAAGCCUCUCCAGCCAGAGCCCAGCUGAAAUCAAGCAGUGAUGAGGAGGAGAGGGUAUUCUUCAUGGAUGACGUGGAAGUGACAGAGUCUUCUGCCAGGUCGGAAUCCCCAGGGGGUACAUUUGAGUUGACAGGUAGCAGGGAGGGCAAUGUUCCGCAGAGAAUACAAGAUAGCCGGAGCGGAGAGGUAGGGGUCAGUGCACCUUCCCUGGUAAAGGAGGAAGACCGGAGCAACAACAACAUUGAGGAUGACAAGAUAAAGCUGGCCAGCCUUGUGGGCUCCACUUCCUGCAGCUGUCUGGACUCACAGCUCUCCCUGGAUGGCUGGGAGGUGAGUGCAGACAAUGCCGAGACAGCCGAGAUGAUUGCACACCGGACCGGGGGCAUGAAACUUUCGGCCACUGUCAUCUUCAAUCCCAAGUCUCCCACCUCCUUGGACUCUGCCGGGGCAACCCAAGAAGCCACAGGCCAUGGUAUGUCCCCGUUGGAGCCCAGGGCAGAGGGGACAGGGGACAAGUCACACAAACUCGGCGCUGCAGCCACCAGCUGCCUCCUCCACUCCUGUGUGUGCUGUGGGAGCUGUGGGGACAGCAGGGAGGAUGCGGUGGAGCGCCUGCGGGAGAAGUGUGUCCCAGGAAGCAUCAUCAGUGCCUCUAACCCUUCUGUAAGCUUAGCCAAGGCUGGGGACAAAGAGCCUGAGAGACUAGAUGAAGCCUGGCCUUCUCCCGAUGUCACCCUGCCUGCAGAAGAUGCCUCCAAUGGGCAGGAGCCCAAAGCCCCUGCUUCCAACAAGUGCCUGGCACACACCUCAGGGCCUCAGGUGGACACAGCAAGCAGGUUGCAAGGAGAGGGUGAGGUCAAAGGCCAGCCAGAGCCAGAGACCAGAAAUCAGGACCCUGAGAAGUCCUCUGUGGUCAGGGAGGACAGUACAGGAGAAGCCCAACACCUGUCAGGCUCCAGAGCGAUGUCCACACUCCAGCUGUUGUAGAGGGUGCUGCUGUGGCCAGCUGCUGCAGAGGGCUCUCCUGUUCCAUAAAGCCUUUCCUCGGAGGCAGCCCCGGCUUUGCAGCCAUGUCAAGUGGAAUGAAUUAACUUCCCAAAGGCUGCCAGUAGCUGCUUUGAGGCUCGUGGCUGAGUUUAUUGGUAAGAGCCAGCAAACAUCUACCAUCUGGAAGGGCCCUUCACAACAUGCCUCUGUAUUUAGGCCCAGCCCAGCUCAGCACACACUCAAAACUCAGCUAUGAAAAGUUGAGAAAACCCACCUGGUGGCUCAGAAGACCUCCCACCUUCGAGGAAGCCUGUUGAGAAGAUACAAAGGGUUUGAAGAGCAAGUAUUCGGCAGGAGGCCAGGACCUCGGACAGCCAUAUGUUGGCCCAGCACUGUGCUUUAGGGAGCUGGAAGAAGUCAGCCUACAGCUACCUGUCUGUUACUCCUGUCCCAGCACUGGUGGAACUGGCAUGGGAGCAUUGGUCACGUGUUCUGUGUCAUGAGCCAGGUGCCGGAACCUACCCAAGAACCAGAUGGAUGUAGCAGGUCCUUCAGGCCUACAAGGAGAUGAUACAGCAGUGUGUUUUCAAACAGAGGCAAGAGGCUGGCCACACACAGGCAGAACAUUUGCUGAAAUGCAGAGUGAGACAUGAGGAGGUCUGGCUAGUGGGACAGCAUUGUGACAAAGCUUUCUCAUGACACAUGUGGUCUCAUACACAGGGGUGGUCUAUUGGGGUUCUCUAAAGGAACAGAACUGAGAGGAGAUAUCUAUAUCUAUACCUCUGUAUAUGGAUUUAUUAGAUUGGCUUAGCGGAUGCAGUCAGAGUACUGCAUCAGUGGCUGUCUCAUGCUGGUAAGGCUGAGAACCUGGUAGUUGUUCAGUCCUUGGCUGGAUGUCUCAGCAGUCCCAGUUUGGGACUGUAGUCCUGGAGGAUUCCUGGGGAACUGCUGAUCUUCAGUCCACGUUGCAAUCCUGAAGAAGCUAGUUCUAAUAGAGUUGAAGGAAUGCCUCAGCAACAGGAUAGAUGAGCAGUGAGAGUGAGGACAAGCAGGCAGAAAGCAACAUUUCCUUCUUCUCUGUUCUUCUAUGUGGGCUGCAAGCAGGUGUCGCCCACAUUUAGUGUGGGACAUCCUGCUUCAAAUAACUUGACAAGGAAAAUCCCUUACAGCAUCUUGGGUUUCAAUUGCAUUCCAUAUGCAGUCAAGUUGACAGUCAAGAUUAUCCAUCACAAGUGGGUCAUGAUUCUCCUCUAAUUCUGCAAAUGGGGGACAAACCUAGAUGCUAAUGUCUGCCUCUCCCUGGUAUCCCUGAAAGGGACAGUUACCUUCACUCUCUGCAAGCAGCAGGAUCCAUUUCACUGCUGUUACAAUUUGAUCAUAGGAUUCACCCAUCAUCUGGCAGGUGCCUCUGUACCUCCUGUGGCAUGUGGCAUGGAAAGUCUAAUGAACUGUGGGUAGGCCCAAUGCUCACAGGCUUCUGUCCCAUGUGUGAGCCUUACCUCUUUGUGCUAUAAAUGGAGGAAAACAGGAAGUUGUUGCAAGAGACCUGCCUUCAAGUCUAUAGAGUCCCCCAUUUCCCUUGGAUCUGUGUGGCUAGUCAGCUAGAAGAUGGCCACCAGAGGGAAGGAGAGUUGCCCCUGUCAGGGGACAUGCUGGAAGCAGAUGGGCUGAGAGAGUGAGACCUACUGGAGAAGCCCCUCCGCAGGUGGUCUUCUGGUCCUGGCCAAUUCCACCAGCACCGUCACCCAAGGGUGGCAGGACAUUUUCAUGCACUGACCCUGCUGAAUGAAUGUCUUGGAACCUGUGUUCUUUAGUUCUUUGCUUUCUGCUGGCUUCUUUCCUAUCUGUUCAGUGGUCAGAGAUGAACCUUUUUUUGAGGAAAGUUGACUUUAUUUUUUUUUUAAAGAUUUAUUUAUU
Onychomys torridus (southern grasshopper mouse) is the source of this 4280-nucleotide RNA transcript. It is a transcript of the gene named zinc finger FYVE-type containing 28, with no coding region annotated. The record is from RefSeq and is a predicted model, not a curated record. Lineage: Eukaryota; Metazoa; Chordata; Mammalia; Rodentia; Cricetidae. The transcript has 10 exons.